UCCGGGGUGGCGCAAUCGGCAGCGCGGGUGCCUGUUAAGCACUAGGUUCUGGGUUCGAGUCCCAGCCCCGGAG
This 73-nucleotide transfer RNA is filed under the name Actinomycetota bacterium. RNAcentral's name for it is "tRNA-Asn". It matches the Rfam family "tRNA". From Rfam's summary of the family: Transfer RNA (tRNA) molecules are approximately 80 nucleotides in length. Their secondary structure includes four short double-helical elements and three loops (D, anti-codon, and T loops). Further hydrogen bonds mediate the characteristic L-shaped molecular structure. tRNAs have two regions of fundamental functional importance: the anti-codon, which is responsible for specific mRNA codon recognition, and the 3' end, to which the tRNAs corresponding amino acid is attached (by aminoacyl-tRNA synthetases). tRNAs cope with the degeneracy of the genetic code in two manners: having more than one tRNA (with a specific anti-codon) for a particular amino acid; and 'wobble' base-pairing, i.e. permitting non-standard base-pairing at the 3rd anti-codon position. Lineage: Bacteria; Bacillati; Actinomycetota. The record is from RNAcentral.